UCAAAAUUAGAAAUUAGAAAGUGGAGAAAUUCCACAAAAAUUGGUUAUAAGUUCAUGGGAUAGGGUUUGAGCAUCUUAAGAAAAAAUUUGGGAACAACUGCGUGUAUUUAUAUCUUUGCCCUUGGUUGUAUUUUCUUAUAAGCUGUGAUCGCACCAGAUUGACCGCAAUUUUGGCUACUGUGACCACGAUAAGAGCCACAAGAAUGUAGUAUGUUGACCUUCUUGACUGACCGCGAUCGCAAUUCUCAUACCGUAAUCGCAUUAACUGAGGCUAUGUUCUGCUCUAGGUCUUCAAACUACACUUGUCUUCUCCUUUAGAUCUUUUGCAUCUCGUGCCUACAUAUUCUUAGUUCAAUACUUUUGUGCCUACAAAAUAUGGAAAAUAGUUCAUUUAAUCACAAAUUUGUCUUAUUUAGACAUUCAAAUCAUAGUAGUGUGCACGAAAAUGGUGUGCAAAUGAGUGGUAGAUUCACCACACAUCAACUCUCCUAUCUAGGUUGACUAGAAUAGGUGUUUUCAUGAUUCUAUUAGUUGAGUCAUGGCAGUUAGUAUUAGAGCACUAUGUUAUUGACCUCACAAGUACAAGAGUAAAUAUCUGUAGAGUCCUACGAAUUGGUGUGUAGAUGUUCACAUAAAAUUCUUGAGAAGCUAUUAGGCAUUAUAGGAAUUAUUUCCUUUUUUUGCUUCUUAUAUGUUACCUUAAAUUUUGUUUAUCUAGGUUGAGCCCAAUUGGUAUCUAGUCAAUUUAAUAGGUAUCUUGAGGAGUUUCCAACUGAAAUCUAGUUGUUUCUAAUUGAUAUCUCUCCAUAAGAUCUUAGACUUAUGAUUGUUAUAUAAAUUAUGAUGAAAAUUCUCGAUUGUAACUUUAUUGGUUUAUUAUCAGAUGUGAUUGUGAUUGUUUAUUGGCUUGAUGGUAGUACUGGUAUAAUUAACCAAAGUGUUGUUUGUAUUAGCGAUUUUAAAAAAUGGUUUUUGGUUUUGAAUUUUUUGAUAGAUGUAAGGUUGAUUGGUGGCUAAAAUAUUUGUUGAUGGUUGGAUUGUCGAUUAAAUAAAUGAAAGAUCUGUUAUUGAUUGAAUUGUCUGUUAAGUGGUUGAUAUGUUAGCCCUUGGCAUAAAAGUUGAAUGAUGUGUUUGAUAAGAUGUGCUGAUAAGUUACAGGUCUGAUGUGGGCGUCAAUGUCUAUUUAAGGUGACAUACAUAUUUAUACAUCAGACUUUAUUUGACUUAUUGGUUUUGACUAUUGAUUGAGUAAAUUUGUUGAAUUGUGAUGGUAAUGUGUAGUUUAUAAGGAAAUCGUGAGAUUAUGGUAGAACUAGGUUCCCGUAUAUUUGUGAAUAUGGUAAUUAUGGCUUCUCAUUAUUCAAACUAGUCACACAUAUGUUAAUUUACAUAAUGACUUGUAAUUGGCUUAUUAUUUUAUGACAUUGAUUAUAUACUUAUUAUAUAGGAAUAAUGAUCAAUAAAUAGUAUCUCUUGAAUGUGAGAUAAUUGAAUUAUAAAGGUUUGAAAUGAGAUUGUUUGAUUUUGAUUGAUGACCCUUAGUUGUAUAAUCAAUUGAGGGAGUAGAAUUAUUAGAGGUGUUCUUGCACAUUCAUAUCUUUCUCAUUAUUCAUGAUAAUACUUGGUGGUUAUUGCUAUUUGACUAAUUGUGGUGUAUUGAGUUGGUAAUUUUACUAACCAUAAGAUAGUUUUAAGGCUAAAUGAACAUAGCUUGGGUGAUAAGUAAUGAGAUGGUUUUUUUAUAAGAGAUUAAUUAUUUAGGGCCGAAUAGAGUAAUGUGAGUUAUGGUGGAGAACUUAUGUAUUAAUGAAACCCAUAGUAGUGUGUUGGUUGUUAGUUUCACUAUAGAUAAUUUAUUCUUGUGUUCUGAUCAUGGAGGAAUAAAAAAGAGUCUUACAGUAGAUGUCUUGAGGGGAAAGGUGCAAGUAUUUGGUGGUGAUGUAUUUUUUAUUGAAUUGCUUUUGGUGUAAGUACCCUUGUAGAGUUUUUCCUAGGAUGAGAGUUGAUAAAAAUCUCAGGCUAAGAUGGGUUCCAUUGAAAACCCAGCGUUGUGUGGUUUAGAGUAAUUUGUUCUCGUGGUAUAGUGUUUGAUGAAAUUAAGGUGAUGUCAUGAUAAUAAGGGAUAUAGUAACCCAUAGAAACUUUCAAAAUGGAAUUCGGGCAAGUAUAACUACGAAUAUAGCAUUUGACAUAAAAAGGGUUAGUUUGAAAUGUCAAAAUUUGAGUAAUGUGUUGACAAAAUGAAAAAAUUGAGAAAAUUCUAAGUUUCUACCUCGCCUACCAUGAUACAAUGGGACGUCAGCCUCUACCACAGAGCCAUUAUAGAAAAAAUAUUCUUGUUAUAGUAGGAGUCAAUAAUCACCAGCUACAAUAUAACACACAGAUCUUGCUAUAGCAAGGCUGCUAUAGUGGGAAUUGGGCCGCUAGUGGGUUUAAUUUAAUAAUUUGUUCAGUUUUCUCCAAGUUUAGAUGUUAUCUCAUCAUGAACUCUCAAGGUUUCAUUCUUAAAUAAUUUUGAGGAAAAUUUCUAAUUCAUGUGUAAAUGCUGGCUACAUAUCUUUUUAUCUUGAAAAGCCUCGAUAGAGAGGCAAAGCAUA
This 2597-nucleotide long non-coding RNA is filed under the name Capsicum annuum. RNAcentral's name for it is "long non-coding RNA (CANN_LNC006851)". Lineage: Eukaryota; Viridiplantae; Streptophyta; Magnoliopsida; Solanales; Solanaceae. The record is from RNAcentral.